RNAcentral lists this ribosomal RNA (234 nucleotides) under uncultured bacterium. Its description in RNAcentral is "partial 16S ribosomal RNA". It matches the Rfam family "Bacterial small subunit ribosomal RNA", at positions 543 to 776 of the family's 1533-position model. The record is from RNAcentral.
GUUCGGAUUCAUUGGGCGUAAAGGGUGCGUAGGUGGCGCUGUAAGUAAGGUGUGAAAUUUCGGAGCUUAACUCCGAAACUGCAUUUGAUACUGCGGUGCUUGAGGACUGGAGAGGAGACUGGAAUUUACGGUGUAGCAGUGAAAUGCGUAGAGAUCGUAAGGAAGACCAGUGGCGAAGGCGGGUCUCUGGACAGUUCCUGACACUGAGGCACGAAGGCCAGGGGAGCAAACGGG